GCACCACUCUUCCUCUGCACAGGUUUUGAUAAAUCUCCCCCAUGGUGUUCAAGUGAGUGACUACCAUCAAAGAAGUCAUCACCCAUGAGUCAAUGUGUUUGUACUGUAUUUAUUUUUUAACUAUGAAGAACUGACCCUGGAAUUGCUCCUGUAUUGAAUUAUCUUGUGGCUGCCGAAGUUCAAGGCCCCAGAUGGUGAAAUUGUAACAUCAGGCUGUUUUCAUGUGGAAAUACUCCUCAAGCAAGUGACACUCAAUGCUCUGCUCUGGCAUCCAUACAUACAACAUGUUUCGGGUCAACAUUUCUCUGAAGAACAUUAAUGCGUUGAGUGAAAAUGUCAGAUUUUCAAUUAAACCAAACAGUGAACGGGCGAAGAACGGCGAAGAAUUCAAACAAGAAUUAAUUAUUCCUCUUCUCUCUCUGACAUUUUCUGUAAGUUAAUAAACUGCGGCAGAUUUCUGGUGACAUCAUAUCAGGUUUAGUAUAAUCCGCUGCAGACUUUCUGUUUCAUAAAUGUGCCAACGUCGGGUCGCCAACCCCAUUGUAAGCCAAACUUUCAUCUAGUUGGUGUGAGUGUGGGUGUCUGUACAGGGGCCCUUACUAAGCAUUUUAUGGUCUUUAUUAAUGGUUUGUUGACUUAAACAACACAACCUAUGGAGGACGGGGCAAUCGUCUCACUGUGAUUUAUUAGGACAAAUACCAAUUGUUAUUCUUCAGGAAGGACACAUUGGGGUGAUGAUCAUUAGUUAACUCAUUGCUUGUCCGACCUACUAAUGAGAUGUCAAGCAAGUAAAACUUGUUUA
Molecule: long non-coding RNA, 802 nt
Organism: Hyla sarda
Lineage: Eukaryota; Metazoa; Chordata; Amphibia; Anura; Hylidae
Exons: 4
Source: RefSeq, a predicted model, not a curated record